AGGGAGACAACAAAAUGUUUAAUAUUAUUAUUUUGUCACCUUAGGUCGAUCGGUAUCUCACGUUCUUAAUUUGUUAAGAAUUUCAUUUCCUAAGUUUUUCUAGGUCACACCCAUUAUUUUUCCUGGGCCAUUAGCUCAGGUGGUUAGAGCGCACCCCUGAUAAGGGUGAGGUCCCUGGUUCAAGUCCAGGAUGGCCCAUAUCUCUAUGUUGGGGGUAUAGCUCAGUUGGUAGAGCGCCUGCUUUGCAAGCAGGAUGUCAGCGGUUCGAGUCCGCUUACCUCCACUGAUUACCACCUCUUCCAUAACUGGUAGAAAGGAAAUGUUUUGAGUUGUGAUUAUUAUUCUGAACGAAUCUAGCUUCCUAAUGAAAUCAUUAAGAUGCUGGACUCAUUGAAUUAAUUUCAUUGUUUUCAGAGAACCUUGACAACUGCAUAGAAUUUUUUAAAGACAAUAAGCAUCUUUAAUGAUGCAGAUUUAUUAUUUGUGCGAAUGCAUUAAUAACAAUUCUAUUAAGCUGAUGCUUCAAUUUUUGAAGUUAUU
Molecule: transfer RNA, 540 nt
Filed under: uncultured Prochlorococcus sp.
Lineage: Bacteria; Bacillati; Cyanobacteriota; Cyanophyceae; Synechococcales; Prochlorococcaceae
Description: partial 16S-23S ribosomal RNA intergenic spacer
Rfam family: tRNA (bases 211-283)
Source: RNAcentral